GCACUAGUAGCUCAGUCUCAGAGCGCCGGUCUUGUAAACCGGACGCCGGAGGUUAAAGUCCUCCCUUUUGCU
This 72-nucleotide transfer RNA is filed under the name Pseudoscopelus astronesthidens. RNAcentral describes it as "tRNA-Thr". It matches the Rfam family "tRNA". Rfam says of the family: Transfer RNA (tRNA) molecules are approximately 80 nucleotides in length. Their secondary structure includes four short double-helical elements and three loops (D, anti-codon, and T loops). Lineage: Eukaryota; Metazoa; Chordata; Actinopteri; Scombriformes; Chiasmodontidae. The record is from RNAcentral.